RNAcentral lists this ribosomal RNA (526 nucleotides) under uncultured eukaryote. Its description in RNAcentral is "SSU rRNA". It matches the Rfam family "Eukaryotic small subunit ribosomal RNA", at positions 75 to 604 of the family's 1831-position model. The record is from RNAcentral.
UAUACAGCGAAACUGCGAAUGGCUCAUUAUAUAAGUUAUCGUUUAUUUGAUAGUGCCUUACUACUUGGAUAACCGUGGUAAUUCUAGAGCUAAUACAUGCUAAAAACCCCGACUUCGGAAGGGGUGUAUUUAUUAGAUACAAAACUAAUGCCCUUCGGGGCUCUUUGGUGAUUCAUGAUAACUAUACGAAUCGCACGGCCUUGCGCCGGCGAUGGUUCAUUCAAAUUUCUUCCCUAUCAACUUUCGAUGUUUGGGUAUUGGCCAAACAUGGUCGCAACGGGUAACGGAGGGUUAGGGCUCGACCCCGGAGAAGGAGCCUGAGAAACGGCUACUACAUCCAAGGAAGGCAGCAGGCGCGCAAAUUACCCAAUCCCGACUCGGGGAGGUAGUGACAAUAAAUACUGAUACAGGGCCCUUUCGGGCCUUGUAAUUGGAAUGAGUACAAUUUAAAUCCCUUAACGAGGAACAAUUGGAGGGCAAGUCUGGUGCCAGCAGCCGCGGUAAUUCCAGCUCCAAUAGCGUAUAU